GGUAGCGUGUCCGAGCGGCCGAAGGAGCUCGCCUCGAAAGCGAGUGUGGGGGCAACUCCACCGAGGGUUCGAAUCCCUCCGCUACCG
This 87-nucleotide transfer RNA is filed under the name Mangrovactinospora gilvigrisea. It matches the Rfam family "tRNA". Rfam says of the family: Transfer RNA (tRNA) molecules are approximately 80 nucleotides in length. Their secondary structure includes four short double-helical elements and three loops (D, anti-codon, and T loops). Lineage: Bacteria; Bacillati; Actinomycetota; Actinomycetes; Kitasatosporales; Streptomycetaceae. The record is from Rfam by way of RNAcentral.